This 141-nucleotide ribosomal RNA is filed under the name uncultured bacterium. Its description in RNAcentral is "partial 16S rRNA". It matches the Rfam family "Bacterial small subunit ribosomal RNA", at positions 355 to 511 of the family's 1533-position model. The record is from RNAcentral.
UGGGGAAUUUUCCGCAAUGGGCGAAAGCCUGACGGAGCAAUGCCGCGUGGAGGUGGAAGGCCUACGGGUCGUCAACUUCUUUUCUCGGAGAAGAAACAAUGACGGUAUCUGGGGAAUAAGCAUCGGCUAACUCUGUGCCAG